GGGGACGACUGGUUUUGACAGCAAGGUCAGUGAAAUUGUAAGCAUACCGAGGACUGAAAUAAUGCUCGUUAAACUUAUUUCAAACAUUUAAACGGCGAAGAUAACUACGCUUUAGCUGCAUAAUCUGAAUUAAUAGUAAGAUUGGCCUCGGCACACAAGGUGUGCAAGCUUUAUGUCCACGAAAAGCCUUGGUUUAUGGCGUUUCAUUUUUGGGCAUCGUAAAAAUAAACAUAGAAAACUUGGUGCUUCAACAAGUUUUUGAAAUUUUAGAAGAUACGUUUGUAAUAGGCUGUUUUUGGUCGGUUACAUUCCGAAAAUCAAACAAAAACUAAGUAUGUAGAAAGCUUUUGAGCUGCUUGUUUGGACCCGAGUUCGAUUCUCGGCGUCUCCACUA
This 394-nucleotide transfer-messenger RNA is filed under the name Tenacibaculum maritimum. RNAcentral describes it as "Standard tmRNA". It matches the Rfam family "transfer-messenger RNA". From Rfam's summary of the family: Bacterial tmRNA, also known as 10Sa RNA or SsrA, is named for its dual tRNA and mRNA-like properties. Its role is to liberate the mRNA from a stalled ribosome. Lineage: Bacteria; Pseudomonadati; Bacteroidota; Flavobacteriia; Flavobacteriales; Flavobacteriaceae. The record is from RNAcentral.